CAGUAGCCGCGGGAAUACGAGGGGGGCAAGCGUUGUUCGGAAUUAUUGGGCGUAAAGGGUGCGUAGGCGGUUUGACAAGUCUUAUGUGAAAUCUCUGGGCUCAACCCAGAGUCUGCAUGGGAAACUGUCGGGCUUGAGUAUGGGAGAGGUGAGUGGAAUUUCCGGUGUAGCGGUGAAAUGCGUAGAUAUCGGAAGGAACACCUGUGGCGAAAGCGGCUCACUGGACCAUAACUGACGCUGAGGCACGAAAGCUAGGGGAGCAAACAGGAUUAGAUACCCCCGUAGUCCCUGUCCCUUAUAC
Molecule: ribosomal RNA, 301 nt
Filed under: uncultured bacterium
Lineage: Bacteria
Description: partial 16S ribosomal RNA
Rfam family: Bacterial small subunit ribosomal RNA
Source: RNAcentral